GAAAAAAGGGGGGGGGGGAACCCAAGCAGGAAAUAUAGAUGGGCGUUUCCACAGAAACACAAAAGUCCAAGAUAUUGGCCGGAAAGACAUUUUUACAAUGAAGUAUUAGUGUGUGUUGUUUUACUUCUAAACAGCUAACUCAAAGGGGCCAUGGCACAAUUGGUUCCAAAUGCUUCAUACUGAGAAGAAACACAGGCAGCUGGCCUCGCUGGUUAACGACUCUCAGUUUGAGGCUUCAGAUGGUAAAGAGAAAGAAGAAAACAGCAAGAAUGUCCCUGGUUGCUAGGAGGGCCAGAGAACUGGGGUGAAGCAGCGUCCGAGGACAGGACAUGGCCAGAGGUGCAGGGGGGCAGGGGGCGAGGGAGUUUUCUAGAGACAUCAAGCGUCACACUUUAAGACACCGCUCAGAGUAACCUCAGAUCUAUACCAUGCAUAUGCCUAGUCGCUUACUCAUCAAUAGACAUUUACUGAGCAUCGAAAACCUACCAAGUAUUUGUGCCAGAUGGUGUGGGGAUCUUCAAGGGAGGAAAGGAGUCGGCUGUGUACCUGAACCUGCUUGCCAUCUGGACACUCCACCUGGGAUGCUGGUCCUUGACCCACACACCCCCAAGCCCCACAGUGGGACAUGUGAGCUCCAUGGGCACCAAUCUUGGGCCACAAGUGACUGCAACAGGACCCUGGGGAGGACACUCCUCCGUGUGCUAUGGAUGCAGGGACGGAAGCAAGACGACUCGCCCAAGGUAACAGAGCCCACCAAUGCCCGCCAGCAGCCUGAAAGAUACAGCACUUCUUAAAUAGAAGCCAUUUAAAAAUACUACAUGCAGACAUGAGAAAAAUCAGCCCGCUUCUCCAACUUGUGGGUCAAAGGGAAGGCGACCGUGAACAAACUGUGACAAACUUGCAGAGAGAAGCGUCCCUCUUUGAGGUCCCCCCGUGGAGGGGUGGCUCUCCCUCCAGAAAGGCUGUGCAUUCUCUUUGGCUCCAGAAGACGCUGUCCUAAGCUG
RNAcentral lists this long non-coding RNA (1004 nucleotides) under Mustela putorius furo (domestic ferret). RNAcentral describes it as "lncRNA (ENSMPUG00000031978.1)". The record is from RNAcentral. Lineage: Eukaryota; Metazoa; Chordata; Mammalia; Carnivora; Mustelidae.